GAUGAACGCUGGCGGCGUGCCUAAUACAUGCAAGUCGAGCGAACAGAUGAGGAGCUUGCUCCUCUGACGUUAGCGGCGGACGGGUGAGUAACACGUGGAUAACCUACCUAUAAGACUGGGAUAACUUCGGGAAACCGGAGCUAAUACCGGAUAAUAUAUUGAACCGCAUGGUUCAAUAGUGAAAGACGGGUUUGCUGUCACUUAUAGAUGGAUCCGCGCCUCAUUAGCUAGUUGGUAAGGUAACGGCUUACCAAGGCAACGAUGCGUAGCCGACCUGAGAGGGUGAUCGGCCACACUGGAACUGAGACACGGUCCAGACUCCUACGGGAGGCAGCAGUAGGGAAUGGUCCGCAAUGGGCGAAAGCCUGACGGAGCAACGCCGCGUGAGUGAUGAAGGUCUUCGGAUCGUAAAACUCUGUUAUUAGGGAAGAACAAAUGUGUAAGUAACUAUGCACGUCUUGACGGUACCUAAUCAGAAAGCCACGGCUAACUACGUG
RNAcentral lists this ribosomal RNA (497 nucleotides) under uncultured bacterium. RNAcentral's name for it is "partial 16S ribosomal RNA". It matches the Rfam family "Bacterial small subunit ribosomal RNA", at positions 28 to 507 of the family's 1533-position model. The record is from RNAcentral.